UUUUAUACUAUAACGAGUCGAACCUGCCCAGUGAUUUUAUUCAACGGCCGCAGUACUCUGACUGUGCAAAGGUAGCAUAAUCAUUUGCCUUAUAAUUAAAGGCUAGUAUGAAUGGUUUGACAAGAAUGACGCUGUCUCUUUCAAAUUUUAUAGAAUUUGGUUUUUAGGUGAGGAAACCUAAAUAAAAUUAAAAGACAAGAAGACCCUAUCGAGCUUUAAAUAAUUUUUUUGAUACCGGGUAAUACUAACUUCAUUAAAAAAUUUUGGUUGGGGCGACUAAGGAACAUAAAAAGCUUCCUAUCAACACAUAUUGACAUUUAAGUUUUGAUCCAGAAUAUCUGAUUAACAGAAUUAGUUACCGUAGGGAUAACAGCAUAAUCUUUUUUGAGAGUUCCUAUCGAAAAAAAGGUUUGUGACCUCGAUGUUGGACUAGGAUACCCAGAAAGGUGCAGAAGCCUUCGAUGGUUGGUCUGUUCGACCA
RNAcentral lists this ribosomal RNA (481 nucleotides) under Ventrosia pontieuxini. RNAcentral describes it as "partial 16S ribosomal RNA". It matches the Rfam family "Bacterial large subunit ribosomal RNA", at positions 1836 to 2587 of the family's 2925-position model. The record is from RNAcentral. Lineage: Eukaryota; Metazoa; Mollusca; Gastropoda; Littorinimorpha; Hydrobiidae.